Long non-coding RNA from Stegodyphus dumicola, 349 nucleotides. NCBI's taxonomy places the organism in Eukaryota, Metazoa, Arthropoda, Arachnida, Araneae, Eresidae. The record is from RefSeq and is a predicted model, not a curated record.
GCCGUUAAAGGCGUGACUAGUGGCUGCUAAAUUUUGAAAAUGUUGGUCGUGUGUGUUUACAUAUUUCUUGCUUGUUCAAAUUCAGUGACAGCUCAAAGGAGCCCCACAAUAAAAUAUAUUUCGAAAGAGAAAGUUGUAAAUAUUGGAGACACGGUUGAAUUAGAAUGUGGUCUUGAGUAUGCAAAAGAUUAUUCAACUGUGUGGGUAAGAAGGACCACUGAAGAUGCAGAUCGUCUUUUUAUUGCAUCUGGCACUAGUCAAAUAGUUCCUGUAGACAGGUAUUCCGUUCGACAUGAUGAUAAGACCAAUACCUACAUUUUAAAGGUAAACUUCUCUUCUUUUUUUUUUU